Molecule: transfer RNA, 70 nt
Filed under: Epinephelus fuscoguttatus x Epinephelus lanceolatus (hybrid giant tiger grouper)
Lineage: Eukaryota; Metazoa; Chordata; Actinopteri; Perciformes; Serranidae
Also listed under: 1 other name
Description: tRNA-Pro
Source: RNAcentral
UCAAAGAGAGGAGAUUCUAACUCCUACCUCUGACUCCCAAAGCCAGAAUUCUAAACUAAACUACUCUUUG